Molecule: ribosomal RNA, 210 nt
Filed under: uncultured fungus
Lineage: Eukaryota; Fungi
Description: partial small subunit ribosomal RNA
Rfam family: Eukaryotic small subunit ribosomal RNA (bases 52-210)
Source: RNAcentral
GGGAGGGCGGCAAUGUCCGCUCGAUGCGUGUGCAGCGCUGCCCUUCCAUCCUUCUGUUAACGCUUCUCGGUCUUAACUGACUGGUUGCGGGCUCAGAUAUUUUACCUUGAGAAAAUUAGAGUGUUUCAGGCAGGCUUGCGCCCGAAUACAUUAGCAUGGAAUAAUAGAAUAGGACUUUUGUCUCCUUUGUUGGUUUGAGGGACUGAAGUA